UACGUAGGGUGCAAGCGUUGUCCGGAAUUAUUGGGCGUAAAGGGCGCGUAGGCGGCUUUGCAAGUGACGGGUGAAAUCCCUCGGCUUAACCGAGGAACUGCCUGUCAAACUGCAUGGCUUGAGACCAGGAGAGGUGAGUGGAAUUCCCAGUGUAGCGGUGAAAUGCGUAGAUAUUGGGAGGAACACCAGUGGCGAAGGCGGCUCACUGGACUGGUACUGACGCUGAUGCGCGAAAGCGUGGGGAGCAAACAGG
RNAcentral lists this ribosomal RNA (253 nucleotides) under uncultured bacterium. Its description in RNAcentral is "partial 16S ribosomal RNA". It matches the Rfam family "Bacterial small subunit ribosomal RNA", at positions 524 to 776 of the family's 1533-position model. The record is from RNAcentral.